GGGACGAGUAAUUUAAUAUUAUUAUUUUUAUUUGGAAUGCAUAGAAAAUUUUCUCUAUUUAGGUCUGGUCCCUGUAGGGACCAAUUUAGGCCGUCUCCAUUAAAUUAUUUGUUCUUGAUAAUAGUUCAUUGAAAAUAAUAAUUUUUUAAAUUUUGGUAAAUAUACAAGGAGACCAUCUCUAUUAUUACUUUAUGUUGUUACAUUUUAUUAAUUAAACUAUUAAUUUUUUACUUAAGCAUUCAUGGUGAUGUUACAUGUGAAUUAACUAUUCACUUAACCUAUGUUUUUGCAACGUAUACCUAUAACUCCCUUUAUGCUCUAUUAAUUGAAAUCUAACCUAUGACUUUAUAUUCUUGUAACUUCUAUGCUAUAAGCCUAUAUAUAGAGGGCUUCUCUAUUCACUUCAACAUAACAUAAAAAAGAAAACUACAAUAUCUAUAUUCUACUUGAGAAAGAGAAGGACAAAGAAAGGUGUUUCUUUUGGUGGAGCUUUGGGCUCAUGUACUUGUGCAGAGUUGGUGAAGCUACACGACGAAAGUCGAACCGUUGUAUCCUGGAGGGGACAAAUCGGUGCUCUGCUGCAUCGGUUCAAAGGCUUUGCCAACCGCAGGGGGCUUAAAUCUCCUUAAAGAGAGCGAGAUAUCCGUAUCUCGGCUUGAUCGACUCGUUGAUACUUUUUUAAAAAAAUUAUUUUGUAGCUAAUCUCUAUUUUUUGAAUAUAUACAUCAACACUUUACAAGUAAUGUAUUUUUUUAAAAUUUCUUUUUGAAAUUUUCAUUGAACUCAAACUCAUUCGUUCAGCAUCUUACCAAUAAUUUUUUGGAUCCAGGUACAAAAUUUGGUUCCAAUCACUGCAAGGCUCUUCUUUUCCAAGCAAUAGGUCUUAAAUUUAAAUGCUGCUUCAAACAAAACAUCAUCUACAUUAAUACGAGCUUAAACUUAGUCGAGAAGUAAAUAAAUAAAAUAAAAUAAAAUAAAAAUUAAAUUGUGAGGUUAGCAUUUCAACAGUGGAGUGAACGGGCGGAUUCGGGAUCCCAAAAACGAAAACUUGAAUAUGGUGUAGAAAUUCGGACAAAACUGUCUUGUUCGUAUUAGAUUUGUAAAAUACAAAAUGAGUUGUACUGCGGACCAAAAUUAUUUUGGCGAGAACUUAAUGAAAUUGAUCCGAAAAGUACCACUUCCCGCCUAAUCUUUGUACCUUCCAAGCUUCUCCCUACUAUAAAUAGCAAUUUCCCCCUCCUACCAUUCGCCACAUCAAAAGAAAAAUAAAAAUGAAGCUCUCCGUCUUCACUAUCUUACUCGUCUCAGUUACCGCCUCGCUGUAUGGCGCCCUUGGCGCCGAGCAGUGCGGCAUCCAGGCCGGAGGCGCCCUGUGCCCCUACGGCCUUUGCUGCAGCAGGUCGGGCUUCUGCGGAACCACUCCCCCUUACUGCGCCGACGGCUGUCAGAGCCAGUGUCGACCGCCCACUCCGCCGCCUUCCCCGCCGCCGGAAUCCCGGCGGCGGCCGCCCCCGCCGAGGCGGCCGCCCCCGCCGCGCCGGCCGCCCCCGCCCCCUCCUCGNUGAAAUCUAACCUAUGACUUUAUAUUCUUGUAACUUCUAUGCUAUAAGCCUAUAUAUAGAGGGCUUCUCUAUUCACUUCAACAUAACAUAAAAAAGAAAACUACAAUAUCUAUAUUCUACUUGAGAGAGAGAAGGACAAAGAAAGGUGUUUCUUUUGGUGGAGCUUUGGGCUCAUCUACUUGUGCAGAGUUGGUGAAGCCACACGACGAGGGUCGAGCCGUUGUAUCCUGGAGGGGACAAGUC
Molecule: long non-coding RNA, 1805 nt
Filed under: Ananas comosus (pineapple)
Lineage: Eukaryota; Viridiplantae; Streptophyta; Magnoliopsida; Poales; Bromeliaceae
Description: long non-coding RNA (ACOM_LNC033837)
Source: RNAcentral